GUGAGGAAUAUUGGUCAAUGGGCGAGAGCCUGAACCAGCCAAGUCGCGUGAAGGAAGAAGGAUCUAUGGUUCGUAAACUUCUUUUGCAGGGGAAUAAAGUGCAGGACGUGUCCUGUUUUGUAUGUACCUUGAGAAUAAGGAUCGGCUAACUCCGUGCCAGCAGCCGCGGUAAUACGGAGGAUCCGAGCGUUAUCCGGAUUUAUUGGGUUUAAAGGGUGCGUAGGUGGUUUGAUAAGUCAGCGGUGAAAGUUUGCAGCUUAACUGUAAAAAUGCCGUUGAAACUGUCGGACUUGAGUGUAAAUGAGGUAGGCGGAAUGCGUGGUGUAGCGGUGAAAUGCAUAGAUAUCACGCAGAACUCCGAUUGCGAAGGCAGCUUACUAAGCUACAACUGACACUGAAGCACGAAAGCGUGGGGAUCAAACAGGAUUAGAUACCCGGGUAGUCC
Molecule: ribosomal RNA, 445 nt
Filed under: uncultured bacterium
Lineage: Bacteria
Description: partial 16S ribosomal RNA
Rfam family: Bacterial small subunit ribosomal RNA
Source: RNAcentral